AAUCAACGCUGGCGGCGUGCCUCAGACAUGCAAGUCGAACGAUUAAAGCUCCCUUCGGGGAGUGCAUAGAGUGGCGCACGGGUGAGUAACACGUAAGUAAUCUACCCUCGGAUGGGGAAUAACAGUCGGAAACGACUGCUAAUACCGCAUAAUGCAGCGGCACCGCAAGGUGACAGUUGUUAAAGGAGCAAUCCGUCUGGGGAGGAGCUUGCGGCAGAUAGCUUGUUGGUAAGGUAACGGCUUACCAAGGCUACGAUCUGUAUCCGGUCUAAGAGGACGGUCGGACACACUGACACUGAAUAACGGGUCAGACUCCUACGGGAGGCAGCAGUCGGGAAUUUUGGGCAAUGGGCGAAAGCCUGACCCAGCAACGCCGCGUGAAGGAUGAAGUAUUUCGGUA
This 400-nucleotide ribosomal RNA is filed under the name uncultured bacterium. RNAcentral's name for it is "bacterial SSU rRNA". It matches the Rfam family "Bacterial small subunit ribosomal RNA", at positions 32 to 423 of the family's 1533-position model. The record is from RNAcentral.